RNAcentral lists this ribosomal RNA (245 nucleotides) under uncultured bacterium. RNAcentral's name for it is "partial small subunit ribosomal RNA". It matches the Rfam family "Bacterial small subunit ribosomal RNA", at positions 26 to 285 of the family's 1533-position model. The record is from RNAcentral.
AGAAUCAACGCUGGCGGCGUGCCUAACACAUGCAAGUCGCACGAGAAAGGGACUUCGGUCCUGAGUAAAGUGGCGCACGGGUGAGUAACACGUGAAUAAUCUACCUCCGAGUGGGGAAUAACUGAGAGAAAUCUUAGCUAAUACCGCAUAAUACCCACGGGUCAAAGCAGCAAUGCGCUUGGAGAGGAGUUCGCGGCCGAUUAGUUAGUUGGCGGGGUAAUGGCCCACCAAGACGACGAUCGGUA